UGCAAUACUGAUUCCCGUUGAUCCUGCGGGAGAUUGCUGCUAUUAGGGUUCCACUUAGCCAUGCAAGUCAAAGGGGCUCUUCGGAGUCACUGGCAAAAUGCUCAGUAACACGUCAAUAAUCUGCCCUUAGGUCAGGCAUAACCUCGGGAAACUGAGGCUAAUUCCUGAUAGAAGAUUGAGGCUGGAAUGCACUUUCUUCUAAAGAUUCGUCGCCUAAGGAUGAGUUGGCGGCUGAUUAGGUUGUUGGUGAGGUAAUGGCUCACCAAGCCGAAGAUCAGUAUGGGCCUUGAGAGAGGUAGCCCAGAGAAGGACACUGAGAAAAGGGUCCUAGCCCUAAGGGGUGCAGCAGGCAGGAAAACUUUACAAUGCACGAAAGUGUGAUAAGGGAAUCCUAAGUGCUUGCCAUUGGUGAGCUUUUGUCAAGUGUAAAAACCUUGACGAAUAAGUGGUGGGCAAGACUGGUGCCAGCAGCCGCGGUAACACCAGCGCCACGAGUGGUAAUCAUGUUUAUUUGGCCUAAAGCGUCCGUAGCCGAUCAAGUCAGUCUCUUGUUAAAUCGUUGCGCUUAACGCAGCGGCUGCAAGAGAUACUGCCUGGUUAGAGACCGGGAGGAGACAGAGGUACUUCAAGGGUAGCGGUAGAAUGCGAUAAUCCUUGGAUGACCACCAAUGGCGAAGGCAUCUGUCUAGAACGGAUCUGACGGUGAGGGACGAAAGCUAGGGGAGCGAAAGGGAUUAGAUACCCCUGUAGUCCUAGC
Molecule: ribosomal RNA, 757 nt
Filed under: archaeon
Lineage: Archaea
Description: bacterial SSU rRNA
Rfam family: Archaeal small subunit ribosomal RNA
Source: RNAcentral